GAUGAACGCUGACAGAAUGCUUAACACAUGCAAGUCAUUGGCGAAGCUGCGCUUGCGCAGUCUAGCCAAGGCGGACGGGUGAGUAACGCGUAAGGAACUUGCCCUGCAGACAGGGAUAACAGACGGAAACGACUGAUAACACCUGUAAUUGUCAGGCUGGCGCAUGCCGGCCUGAUGAAAGGAGACGCUGCAGGAGAGCCUUGCGUCCUAUUAGCUAGUUGGUGGGGUAACGGCCCACCAAGGCGAUGUUAGGUAGCCGGCCUGAGAGGGUGAACGGCCACAAGGGGACUGAGAUACGGCUCUGACUCCUACGGGAGGCAGCAGUGGGGAAUAGUGGACAAUGGGGGCAACCCUGAUCAAGCAAUUCUGUGUGCACGAAGAAGGUUUUCGGAUUGUAAAGUGCUUUCAGCAGGGAAGAAGAAAGUGACGGUACCUGCAGAAGAAGCGACGGCUAAAUACGUG
RNAcentral lists this ribosomal RNA (462 nucleotides) under uncultured bacterium. RNAcentral's name for it is "partial 16S ribosomal RNA". It matches the Rfam family "Bacterial small subunit ribosomal RNA", at positions 28 to 507 of the family's 1533-position model. The record is from RNAcentral.